GGAGUUGACAGAUAAAGACAAGGCUUGGGGGUAUUUCCAAUGAUGUGCUUGGAGCUGGAGUUGAACCAGCGGCCUUAGAAUCACAGCGUUUUACACAAGGAGCAUCUUACAGUCCACAGCUCUACCAACUGAGCUAUCAAGGUGCUCUCUAGUCACAAGUGCAGACAACAUAGUGGCUUCGAAGACACACUAUGCCCACAGAACUAUUCCAACCCAUGGUCAAUGAAAAGCCCAGCCCUACCUGCAGAACAAAGCUUUGCAGUUUGUACCCAACAGUCAUUGCCAGGGACCCAGAACUGAUAAUCAGGACUUUUAGGCUGGGUGAAUAAAAAAUUGAUGGUUGAAAAUUUAAGAAAGAGUUAUCUUGUUUGUGUUUUGACAUUUUGGAGGAGUUGACAGAUAAAGACAAGGCUUGGGGGUAUUUCCAAUGACAAGGAGGCGCUUGGAGCUGGAGUUGAACCAGCGACCUUAGGAUCACAGCGUUUCACACAAGGAGCAUCUUACAGUCCACCGCUCUACCAACUGAGCUAUCAAGGUGCUCUCUAGUCACAAGUGCAGAAAACAUAGUGGCUUCGAAGACACACUAUGCCCACAGAACUAUUCCAACCCAUGGUCAAUGAAAAGCCCAGCCCUACCUGCAGAACAAAGCUUUGCAGUUUGUACCCAACAGUCAUUGCCAGGGACCCAGAACUGAUAAUCAGGACUUUUAGGCUGGGUGAAUAAAAAAUUGAUGGUUGAAAAUUUAAGAAAGAGUUAUCUUGUUUGUGUUUUGACAUUUUGGAGGAGUUGACAGAUAAAGACAAGGCUUGGGGGUAUUUCCAAUGACGUGCUUGGAGCUGGAGUUGAACCAGCGACCUUAGGAUCACAGCGUUUCACACAAGGAGCAUCUUACAGUCCACCGCUCUACCAACUGAGCUAUCAAGGUGCUCUCUAGUCACAAGUGCAGAAAACAUAGUGGCUUCGAAGACACACUAUGCCCACAGAACUAUUCCAACCCAUGGUCAAUGAAAAGCCCAGCCCUACCUGCAGAACAAAGCUUUGCAGUUUGUACCCAACAGUCAUUGCCAGGGACCCAGAACUGAUAAUCAGGACUUUUAGGCUGGGUGAAUAAAAAAUUGAUGGUUGAAAAUUUAAGACAGAGUUAUCUUGUUUGUGUUUUGACAUUUUGGAGGAGUUGACAGAUAAAGACAAGGCUUGGGGGUAUUUCCAAUGACGUGCUUGGAGCUGGAGUUGAACAAGCGACCUUAGGAUCACAGCGUUUCACAAAAGGAGCAUCUUACAGUCCACCGCUCUACCAACCGAGCUAUCAAGGUGCUCUCUAGUCACAAGUGCAGAAAACAUAGUGGCUUCGAAGACACACUAUGCCCACAGAACUAUUCCAACCCAUGGUCAAUGAAAAGCCCAGCCCUACCUGCAGAACAAAGCUUUGCAGUUUGUACCCAACAGUCAUUGCCAGGGACCCAGAACUGAUAAUCAGGACUUUUAGGCUGGGUGAAUAAAAAAUUGAUGGUUGAAAAUUUAAGAAAGAGUUAUCUUGUUUGUGUUUUGACAUUUUGGAGGAGUUGACAGAUAAAGACAAGGCUUGGGGGUAUUUCCAAUGACAAGGAAGUGCUUGGAGCUGGAGUUGAACCAGCGACCUUAGGAUCACAGCGUUUCACACAAGGAGCAUCUUACAGUCCACCGCUCUACCAACUGAGCUAUCAAGGUGCUCUCUAGUCACAAGUGCAGAAAACAUAGUGGCUUCGAAGACACACUAUGCCCACAGAACUAUUCCAACCCAUGGUCAAUGAAAAGCCCAGCCCUACCUGCAGAACAAAGCUUUGCAGUUUGUACCCAACAGUCAUUGCCAGGGACCCAGAACUGAUAAUCAGGACUUUUAGGCUGGGUGAAUAAAAAAUUGAUGGUUGAAAAUUUAAGAAAGAGUUAUCUUGUUUGUGUUUUGACAUUUUGGAGGAGUUGACAGAUAAAGACAAGGCUUGGGGGUAUUUCCAAUGACAAGGAGGUGCUUGGAGCUGGAGUUGAACCAGCAACCUUAGGAUCACAGCGUUUCACACAAGGAGCAUCUUACAGUCCACCGCUCUACCAACUGAGCUAUCAAGGUGCUCUCUAGUCACAAGUGCAGAAAACAUAGUGGCUUCUAAGACACACUAUGCCCACAGAACUAUUCCAACCCAUGGUCAAUGAAAAGCCCAGCCCUACCUGCAGAACAAAGCUUUGCAGUUUGUACCCAACAGUCAUUGCCAGGGACCCAGAACUGAUAAUCAGGACUUUUAGGCUGGGUGAAUAAAAAAUUGAUGGUUGAAAAUUUAAGAAAGAGUUAUCUUGUUUGUGUUUUGACAUUUUGGAGGAGUUGACAGAUAAAGACAAGGCUUGGGGGUAUUUCCAAUGACAAGGAGGUGCUUGGAGCUGGAGUUGAACCAGCGACCUUAGGAUCACAGCGUUUCACACAAGGAGCAUCUUACAGUCCACCGCUCUACCAACUGAGCUAUCAAGGUGCUCUCUAGUCACAAGUGCAGAAAACAUAGUGGCUUCGAAGACACACUAUGCCCACAGAACUAUUCCAACCCAUGGUCAAUGAAAAGCCCAGCCCUACCUGCAGAACAAAGCUUUGCAGUUUGUACCCAACAGUCAUUGCCAGGGACCCAGAACUGAUAAUCAGGACUUUUAGGCUGGGUGAAUAAAAAAUUGAUGGUUGAAAAUUUAAGAAAGAGUUAUCUUGUUUGUGUUUUGACAUUUUGGAGGAGUUGACAGAUAAAGACAAGGCUUGGGGGUAUUUCCAAUGACAAGGAGGUGCUUGGAGCUGGAGUUGAACCAGCGACCUUAGGAUCACAGCGUUUGACACAAGGAGCAUCUUACAGUCCACCGCUCUACCAACUGAGCUAUCAAGGUGCUCUCUAGUCACAAGUGCAGAAAACAUAGUGGCUUCGAAGACACACUAUGCCCACAGAACUAUUCCAACCCAUGGUCAAUGAAAAGCCCAGCCCUACCUGCAGAACAAAGCUUUGCAGUUUGUACCCAACAGUCAUUGCCAGGGACCCAGAACUGAUAAUCAGGACUUUUAGGCUGGGUGAAUAAAAAAUUGAUGGUUGAAAAUUUAAGAAAGAGUUAUCUUGUUUGUGUUUUGACAUUUUGGAGGAGUUGACAGAUAAAGACAAGGCUUGGGGGUAUUUCCAAUGACGUGCUUGGAGCUGGAGUUGAACCAGCGACCUUAGGAUCACAGCGUUUCACACAAGGAGCAACUUACAGUCCACCGCUCUACCAACUGAGCUAUCAAAGGUGCUCUCUAGUCACAAGUGCAGAAAACAUAGUGGCUUCGAAGACACACUAUGCCCACAGAACUAUUCCAACCCAUGGUCAAUGAAAAGCCCAGCCCUACCUGCAGAACAAAGCUUUGCAGUUUGUACCAACAGUCAUUGCCAGGGACCCAGAACUGAUAAUCAGGACUUUUAGGCUGGGUGAAUAAAAAAUUGAUGGUUGAAAAUUUAAGAAAGAGUUAUCUUGUUUGUGUUUUGACAUUUUGGAGGAGUUGACAGAUAAAGACAAGGCUUGGGGGUAUUUCCAAUGACGUGCUUGGAGCUGGAGUUGAACCAGCGACCUUAGGAUCACAGCGUUUCACACAAGGAGCAUCUUACAGUCCACCGCUCUACCAACUGAGCUAUCAAGGUGCUCUCUAGUCACAAGUGCAGAAAACAUAGUGGCUUCGAAGACACACUAUGCCCACAGAACUAUUCCAACCCAUGGUCAAUGAAAAGCCCAGCCCUACCUGCAGAACAAAGCUUUGCAGUUUGUACCCAACAGUCAUUGCCAGGGACCCAGAACUGAUAAUCAGGACUUUUAGGCUGGGUGAAUAAAAAAUUGAUGGUUGAAAAUUUAAGAAAGAGUUAUCUUGUUUGUGUUUUGACAUUUUGGAGGAGUUGACAGAUAAAGACAAGGCUUGGGGGUAUUUCCAAUGACGUGCUUGGAGCUGGAGUUGAACCAGCGACUUUAGGAUCACAGCGUUUCACACAAGGAGCAACUUACAGUCCACCGCUCUACCAACUGAGCUAUCAAGGUGCUCUCUAGUCACAAGUGCAGAAAACAUAGUGGCUUUGAAGACACACUAUGCCCACAGAACUAUUCCAACCCAUGGUCAAUGAAAAGCCCAGCCCUACCUGCAGAACAAAGCUUUGCAGUUUGUACCCAACAGUCAUUGCCAGGGACCCAGAACUGAUAAUCAGGACUUUUAGGCUGGGUGAAUAAAAAAUUGAUGGUUGAAAAUUUAAGAAAGAGUUAUCUUGUUUGUGUUUUGACAUUUUGGAGGAGUUGACAGAUAAAGACAAGGCUUGGGGGUAUUUCCAAUGACAAGGAGGUGCUUGGAGCUGGAGUUGAACCAGCGACCUUAGGAUCACAGCGUUUCACACAAGGAGCAUCUUACAGUCCACCGCUCUACCAACUGAGCUAUCAAGGUGCUCUCUAGUCACAAGUGCAGAAAACAUAGUGGCUUCGAAGACACACUAUGCCCACAGAACUAUUCCAACCCAUGGUCAAUGAAAAGCCCAGCCCUACCUGCAGAACAAAGCUUUGCAGUUUGUACCCAACAGUCAUUGCCAGGGACCCAGAACUGAUAAUCAGGACUUUUAGGCUGGGUGAAUAAAAAAUUGAUGGUUGAAAAUUUAAGAAAGAGUUAUCUUGUUUGUGUUUUGACAUUUUGGAGGAGUUGACAGAUAAAGACAAGGCUUGGGGGUAUUUCCAAUGACAAGGAGGUGCUUGGAGCUGGAGUUGAACCAGCGACCUUAGGAUCACAGCGUUUCACACAAGGAGCAUCUUACAGUCCACCGCUCUACCAACUGAGCUAUCAAGGUGCUCUCUAGUCACAAGUGCAGAAAACAUAGUGGCUUCGAAGACACACUAUGCCCACAGAACUAUUCCAACCCAUGGUCAAUGAAAAGCCCAGCCCUACCUGCAGAACAAAGCUUUGCAGUUUGUACCCAACAGUCAUUGCCAGGGACCCAGAACUGAUAAUCAGGACUUUUAGGCUGGGUGAAUAAAAAAUUGAUGGUUGAAAAUUUAAGAAAGAGUUAUCUUGUUUGUGUUUUGACAUUUUGGAGGAGUUGACAGAUAAAGACAAGGCUUGGGGGUAUUUCCAAUGACAAGGAGGUGCUUGGAGCUGGAGUUGAACCAGCGACCUUAGGAUCACAGCGUUUCACACAAGGAGCAACUUACAGUCCACCGCUCUACCAACUGAGCUAUCAAAGUGCUCUAUAGUCACAAGUGCAGAAAACAUAGUGGCUUCGAAGACACACUAUGCCCACAGAACUAUUCCAACCCAUGGUCAAUGAAAAGCCCAGCCCUACCUGCAGAACAAAGCUUUGCAGUUUGUACCCAACAGUCAUUGCCAGGGACCCAGAACUGAUAAUCAGGACUUUUAGGCUGGGUGAAUAAAAAAUUGAUGGUUGAAAAUUUAAGAAAGAGUUAUCUUGUUUGUGUUUUGACAUUUUGGAGGAGUUGACAGAUAAAGACAAGGCUUGGGGGUAUUUCCAAUGACAAGGAGGUGCUUGGAGCUGGAGUUGAACCAGCGACCUUAGGAUCACAGCGUUUCACACAAGGAGCAUCUUACAGUCCACCGCUCUACCAACUGAGCUAUCAAGGUGCUCUCUAGUCACAAGUGCAGAAAACAUAGUGGCUUCGAAGACACACUAUGCCCACAGAACUAUUCCAACCCAUGGUCAAUGAAAAGCCCAGCCCUACCUGCAGAACAAAGCUUUGCAGUUUGUACCCAACAGUCAUUGCCAGGGACCCAGAACUGAUAAUCAGGACUUUUAGGCUGGGUGAAUAAAAAAUUGAUGGUUGAAAAUUUAAGAAAGAGUUAUCUUGUUUGUGUUUUGACAUUUUGGAGGAGUUGACAGAUAAAGACAAGGCUUGGGGGUAUUUCCAAUGACGUGCUUGGAGCUGGAGUUGAACCAGCGACUUUAGGAUCACAGCGUUUCACACAAGGAGCAACUUACAGUCCACCGCUCUACCAACUGAGCUAUCAAGGUGCUCUCUAGUCACAAGUGCAGAAAACAUAGUGGCUUCGAAGACACACUAUGCCCAGAGAACUAUUCCAACCCAUGGUCAAUGAAAAGCCCAGCCCUACCUGCAGAACAAAGCUUUGCAGUUUGUACCAAACAGUCAUUGCCAGGGACCCAGAACUGAUAAUCAGGACUUUUAGGCUGGGUGAAUAAAAAAUUGAUGGUUGAAAAUUUAAGAAAGAGUUAUCUUGUUUGUGUUUUGACAUUUUGGAGGAGUUGACAGAUAAAGACAAGGCUUGGGGGUAUUUACAUUGACGUGCUUGAGCUGGAGUUGAACCAGCGACCUUAGGAUCACAGCGUUACACACAAGGAGCAUCUUACAGUCCACCGCUCUACCAACUGAGCUAUCAAAGUGCUCUAUAGUCACAAGUGCAGAAAACAUAGUGGCUUCGAAGACACACUAUGCCCACAGAACUAUUCCAACCCAUGGUCAAUGAAAAGCCCAGCCCUACCUGCAGAACAAAGCUUUGCAGUUUGUACCAAACAGUCAUUGCCAGGGACCCAGAACUGAUAAUCAGGACUUUUAGGCUGGGUGAAUAAAAAAUUGAUGGUUGAAAAUUUAAGAAAGAGUUAUCUUGUUUGUGUUUUGACAUUUUGGAGGAGUUGACAGAUAAAGACAAGGCUUGGGGGUAUUUCCAAUGACGUGCUUGGAGCUGGAGUUGAACCAGCGACCUUAGGAUCACAGCGUUUCACACAAGGAGCAUCUUACAGUCCACCGCUGUACCAACUGAGCUAUCAAGGUGCUCUCUAGUCACAAGUGCAGAAAACAUAGUGGCUUCGAAGACACACUAUGCCCACAGAACUAUUCCAACCCAUGGUCAAUGAAAAGCCCAGCCCUACCUGCAGAACAAAGCUUUGCAGUUUGUACCCAACAGUCAUUGCCAAGGACCCAGAACCGAUAUUCAGGACUUUUAGGCUGGGUGAAUAAAAAAUUGAUAUUUGGAAAGUUAUGCAGGAGUUAUCUUGUUUGUGUUUUUACAUUUUGAAGGAGUUGACAGAUGAAGACAAGGCUUGGCAUUAUUUCAAUGUGAUUACACCUAAAACAUUGCUCACACCAAUGAAAUGCACUG
Molecule: long non-coding RNA, 7120 nt
Filed under: Xyrichtys novacula (pearly razorfish)
Lineage: Eukaryota; Metazoa; Chordata; Actinopteri; Labriformes; Labridae
Source: RNAcentral